Non-coding RNA from Sphaerobolus stellatus SS14, 85 nucleotides. Lineage: Eukaryota; Fungi; Basidiomycota; Agaricomycetes; Geastrales; Sphaerobolaceae. The record is from the annotation of a GenBank genome assembly.
CUCUAGGUAGCUCAGCUUGGAAGAGCGUCAGAUUGUAAUGGAUAUCGUCAUCUAAAUGUCGCUGGUUCGAUCCUGGCUCCGGAGA